GCUUUCGUGGUGUAGCGGUAACAUUGGGUCUUCCCAAGAAAGAAUGGCCUAGCUCCGGGUUCGACUCCCGGCGGACGUA
Mycena albidolilacea is the source of this 79-nucleotide non-coding RNA. The record is from the annotation of a GenBank genome assembly. NCBI's taxonomy places the organism in Eukaryota, Fungi, Basidiomycota, Agaricomycetes, Agaricales, Mycenaceae.